AUGCAAGUCGAGCGGAAGGCCCUUCGGGGUACUCGAGCGGCGAACGGGUGAGUAACACGUGAGUAACCUGCCCCGGAUAACCCCGGGAAACCGGGGCUAAUACCGGAUAUGACCAUCUGUCGCAUGGUGGGUGGUGGAAAGAUUUUUUGGCUUGGGAUGGGCUCGCGGCCUAUCAGCUUGUUGGUGGGGUGAUGGCCUACCAAGGCGGCGACGGGUAGCCGGCCUGAGAGGGCGACCGGCCACAACUGAGACACGGCCCAGACUCCUACGGGAGGCAGCAGUGGGGAAUCUUGCACAAUGGGCGGAAGCCUGAUGCAGCGACGCCGCGUGAGGGAUGACGGCCUUCGGGUUGUAAACCUCUUUCAGCAGGGACGAAGCGUUUGUGACGGUACCUGCAGAAGAAGCGCAACUACGUGCCAGCAGCCGCGGUAAGACGUAGGGCGCAAGCGUUGUCCGGAUUUAUUGGGCGUAAAGAGCUCGUAGGCGGCUUGUCGCGUCGACUGUGAAAACCCGUGGCUCAACUGCGGGCUUGCAGGCGAUACGGGCAGGCUAGAGUUCGGUAGGGGAGACUGGAAGGUGUAGCGGUGAAAUGCGCAGAUAUCAGGAGGAACACCGGUGGCGAAGGCGGGUCUCUGGGCCGAUACUGACGCUGAGGAGCGAAAGCGUGGGGAGCGAACGGAUUAGAUACCCUGGUAGUCCACGCUGUAAACGUUGGGCGCUAGGUGUGGGGGGCCUCUCCGGUUUGCCGCAGCUAACGCAUUAAGCGCCCCGCCUGGGGAGUACGGCCGCAAGGCUAAAACUCAAAGGAAUUGACGGGGGCCCGCACAAGCGGCGGAGCAUGCGGAUUAAUUCGAUGCAACGCGAAGAACCUUACCUGGGUUUGACAUCGCCGGAAAUCCUUCAGAGAUGCCUUCGGGGCCGGUGACAGGUGGUGCAUGGCUGUCGUCAGCUCGUGUCGUGAGAUGUUGGGUUAAGUCCCGCAACGAGCGCAACCCUUGUUCGAUGUUGCCAGCGCGUUAUGGCGGGGACUCAUCGAAGACUGCCGGGGUCAACUCGGAGGAAGGUGGGGAUGACGUCAAGUCAUCCUUAUGUCCAGGGCUUCACGCAUGCUACAAUGGCCGGUACAGUGGGCUGCGAUACCGUGAGGUGGAGCGAAUCCCAAAAAGCCGGUCUCAGU
Molecule: ribosomal RNA, 1177 nt
Filed under: Salinispora arenicola
Lineage: Bacteria; Bacillati; Actinomycetota; Actinomycetes; Micromonosporales; Micromonosporaceae
Description: bacterial SSU rRNA
Rfam family: Bacterial small subunit ribosomal RNA
Source: RNAcentral